RNAcentral lists this ribosomal RNA (266 nucleotides) under uncultured bacterium. Its description in RNAcentral is "partial 16S ribosomal RNA". It matches the Rfam family "Bacterial small subunit ribosomal RNA", at positions 89 to 354 of the family's 1533-position model. The record is from RNAcentral.
UGGCGACCGGCGCACGGGUGAGUAACGCGUAUCCAACCUGCCCUUUACUAUGGGACAGCCCGUCGAAAGGCGGAUUAAUACCGUAUGUUGUCAUGUUGAUGCAUAUUUUCAUGACCAAAGGCUUCGGCCGGUAAAGGAUGGGGAUGCGUCUGAUUAGCUUGCCGCGGGGUAACGGCCCACCGGGGCGACGAUCAGUAGGGGUUCUGAGAGGAAGGUCCCCCACAUUGGAACUGAGACACGGUCCAAACUCCUACGGAAGGCAGCAG